AGUCUCCUCCCUGUUGCCACACACGGCUGUGGCUCUUUCACUUCCAUUGCUGUUGAGAAUCCCAGCAUCUGUGGACCCAUUUUGCUGAUUUGACUGGUUUCCCCUGGACACUCUUUUCACAGCCUUGGUCAUCUAUAAUUUCCUGAGCCUGUGCUAUGAGUACCUAGGAGGAGAAAGUUCCAUCAUGUCGGAGAUCAGAGGAAAACCCAUUGAGUCCAGCUGUGUGUACGGCACCUGCUGCCUCUGGGGAAAGACUUAUUCCAUCGGAUUUCUGAGGUUCUGCAAACAGGCCACCCUGCAGUUCUGUGUGGUGAAGCCACUCAUGGCGGUCAGCACUGUGGUCCUCCAGGCCUUCGGCAAGUACCGGGAUGGGGACUUUGAGUAAGCAGCGGGUGCUCCCCGGGGUGUGUGGGAGGAGCGUUGGCACAGGCUGGUGCCUUGCCUCAGGGAAGGGGGCAGCCAGAGUGGCCGCACAGCCAUGACCUUCCUGGGUGCCUGGUGCUCACAACCCCCGUGAAGUCCAAGCCCAGCAGUGGACACCCUUGCAGUUGGCCCUGCUGC
This 561-nucleotide small RNA is filed under the name Pongo abelii (Sumatran orangutan). RNAcentral's name for it is "retained intron". Lineage: Eukaryota; Metazoa; Chordata; Mammalia; Primates; Hominidae. The record is from RNAcentral.